CAGUCGCCGCGGGAAUACGGAGGGUGCAAGCGUUAAUCGGAAUUACUGGGCGUAAAGCGCACGCAGGCGGUCUGACAAGUCAGAUGUGAAAUCCCCGGGCUUAACCUGGGAACUGCAUUUGAAACUGUCAGGCUGGAGUCUUGUAGAGGGGGGUGGAAUUCCAGGUGUAGCGGUGAAAUGCGUAGAGAUCUGGAGGAAUACCGGUGGCGAAGGCGGCCCCCUGGACAAAGACUGACGCUCAGGUGCGAAAGCGUGGGGAGCAAACAGGAUUAGAGACCCCAGUAGUCCCGUCUCUUAUACA
RNAcentral lists this ribosomal RNA (301 nucleotides) under uncultured bacterium. Its description in RNAcentral is "partial 16S ribosomal RNA". It matches the Rfam family "Bacterial small subunit ribosomal RNA", at positions 509 to 808 of the family's 1533-position model. The record is from RNAcentral.